GGAUUAUAGCUCAGUUGGUUCAGUGUUUGCUUCACAUGCCCAAGGCCCUGAGUUCAAUCCCCAGCACCA
This 69-nucleotide transfer RNA is filed under the name Marmota monax (woodchuck). RNAcentral describes it as "tRNA.Val". The record is from RNAcentral. Lineage: Eukaryota; Metazoa; Chordata; Mammalia; Rodentia; Sciuridae.